This 471-nucleotide ribosomal RNA is filed under the name uncultured bacterium. RNAcentral describes it as "bacterial SSU rRNA". It matches the Rfam family "Bacterial small subunit ribosomal RNA", at positions 28 to 497 of the family's 1533-position model. The record is from RNAcentral.
GACGAACGCUGGCGGCGUGCCUAACACAUGCAAGUCGAACGAAGCUUGAUUUCUGAUUUUUUCGGAAUGACGAAUGAUAUGACUGAGUGGCGGACGGGUGAGUAACGCGUGAGCAACCUGCCCUUCGGAACGAGAUAGUGUCUGGAAACGGACAGUAAUACCGUAUAAUAUAUAUUGAUCGCAUGGUUGAUACAUCAAAACUGAGGUGCCGAAGGGUGGGCUCGCGUCUGAUUAGAUAGUUGGUGGGGUAACGGCCUACCAAGUCGACGAUCAGUAGCCGGACUGAGAGGUUGAACGGCCACAUUGGGACUGAGACACGGCCCAGACUCCUACGGGAGGCAGCAGUGGGGAAUAUUGCACAAUGGGGGAAACCCUGAUGCAGCAACGCCGCGUGAAGGAAGACGGUUUUCGGAUUGUAAACUUCUGUUCUUAGUGAAGAAUAAUGACGGUAGCUAAGGAGCAAGCCACGGC